GCAAGUCGAACGGAAACAUGUCUAGCUUGCUAGAUGAUGUCGAGUGGCGGACGGGUGAGUAAUGCCUGGGAAUUUGCCUUUGCGAGGGGGAUAACCAUUGGAAACGAUGGCUAAUACCGCAUAAUACCUACGGGUCAAAGGGGGGACUUGUUCCUCGCGCGCAAAGAGGAGCCCAGGUGAGAUUAGCUAGUUGGUGGGGUAAAGGCUCACCAAGGCGACGAUCUCUAGCUGUUCUGAGAGGAAGAUC
This 247-nucleotide ribosomal RNA is filed under the name uncultured bacterium. Its description in RNAcentral is "partial 16S ribosomal RNA". It matches the Rfam family "Bacterial small subunit ribosomal RNA", at positions 57 to 305 of the family's 1533-position model. The record is from RNAcentral.